UGAGUGUCGCAGCUAACGCGUUAAGCAGGGCGCCUGGGGAGUACGGCCGCAAGGCUAAAACUCAAAGGAAUUGACGGGGACCCGCACAAGCAGUGGAGCGCCUGGUUUAAUUCGAUGGUCAGCGAAGAACCUCACCUGGGCUUGAACUGUAGCUGCACACCUUGGGAAACCAGGGGAGCCUUCGAGGGUGCUACAGAGGUGAUGCAUGGCUGUCGUCAGCUCGUGUCGCGAGAUGUAGGGUUAAGUCCCGUAACGAGCGCAACUCUUAUCUGAUGUUAUAAUUUCUUCAGAGACUGCCCCGUUAUAGCGGGGAGGAAGGAGGGGAUGACGUCCAGUCAGCAUGUCCCUUAUGUCCAGGGCUACACAGACGCUACAAUGGCUAUUACAAUGGGCUGCCAAGCCGCGAGGUGGAGCGAAUCCCAUCAAAAAUAGUCUCAGUUCGGAUUGCAGGCUGAAAUUCGCCUGCAUGAAGUCGGAAUUGCUAGUAAUCGCGUAUCAGCAUGGCGCGGUGAAUACGUUCUCGGGUCUUGUACACACCGCCCGUCAGGGCACGGGAGUUGCUCUUGCUCGAAGUUCCCGAAUUAUUCGGGACCGAAAGUUAAGGGCGGCGACCAGGCUUAAGUCGUA
This 627-nucleotide ribosomal RNA is filed under the name uncultured organism. RNAcentral describes it as "bacterial SSU rRNA". It matches the Rfam family "Bacterial small subunit ribosomal RNA", at positions 840 to 1490 of the family's 1533-position model. The record is from RNAcentral.